GAACACCAGCAGCGAAAGCGCCCUACUGGGCCGCAACUGACGCUCAUGGACGAAAGCUAGGGGAGCGAAAGGGAUUAGAUACCCCUGUAGUCCUAGCCGUAAACGAUGGACACUAGGUGUUGUCUGUAUCGACCCGGACAGUGCCGUAGCUAACGCGUUAAGUGUCCCGCCUGGGGAGUACGCACGCAAGUGUGAAACUCAAAGGAAUUGACGGGGGCCCGCACAAGCGGUGGAGUAUGUGGUUUAAUUCGAUGCAACGCGAAGAACCUUACCAGGGCUUGACAUCCCGCGAAUCUCUGUGAAAGUGGAGAGUGCCUUCGGGAGGGCGGAGACAGGUGGUGCAUGGCUGUUGUCAGCUCGUGUCGUGAGAUGUUGGGUUAAGUCCCGCAACGAGCGCAACCCUCGUUUUUAGUUGCCAUCAUUAAGUUGGGCACUUUAGGGAGACUGCCGGUGACAAACCGGAGGAAGGUGGGGACGACGUCAAGUCAUCAUGCCCCUUACGUCCUGGGCUACACACGUACUACAAUGCU
RNAcentral lists this ribosomal RNA (530 nucleotides) under uncultured Prochlorothrix sp. RNAcentral describes it as "bacterial SSU rRNA". It matches the Rfam family "Bacterial small subunit ribosomal RNA", at positions 704 to 1234 of the family's 1533-position model. The record is from RNAcentral. Lineage: Bacteria; Bacillati; Cyanobacteriota; Cyanophyceae; Prochlorotrichales; Prochlorotrichaceae.